CGCUUGGCCUGUCGCGCGACGAUAUCGUGAUCGAGCAAAGCACCGACCGCUCGACCGGAUUCCUGCUCGCCAACCUUGGCGGCUCGUCGCUGUGUCAGGUCGAUGUCGCCGGUUCAUUCGGCGCUGAACUGUCGNNNNNGCGAUGGUGGCAUUCGCGCAGGAAUGGCUGACAAAAUUAUUUGGCGCGGACGUCAAGAACA
Molecule: unclassified non-coding RNA, 200 nt
Filed under: Hevea brasiliensis (rubber tree)
Lineage: Eukaryota; Viridiplantae; Streptophyta; Magnoliopsida; Malpighiales; Euphorbiaceae
Source: RNAcentral